GAUGAACGCUGGCGGCGUGCCUAAUACAUGCAAGUCGAGCGAACGGACGAGAAGCUUGCUUCUCUGAUGUUAGCGGCGGACGGGUGAGUAACACGUGGAUAACCUACCUAUAAGACUGGGAUAACUUCGGGAAACCGGAGCUAAUACCGGAUAAUAUUUUGAACCGCAUGGUUCAAAAGUGAAAGACGGUCUUGCUGUCACUUAUAGAUGGAUCCGCGCUGCAUUAGCUAGUUGGUAAGGUAACGGCUUACCAAGGCAACGAUGCAUAGCCGACCUGAGAGGGUGAUCGGCCACCCUGGAACUGAGACACGGUCCAGACUCCUACGGGAGGCAGCAGUAGGGAAUCUUCCGCAAUGGGCGAAAGCCUGACGGAGCAACGCCGCGUGAGUGAUGAAGGUCUUCGGAUCGUAAUGCUCUGUUAUUAGGGAAGAACAUAUGUGUAAGUAACUGUGCACAUCUUGACGGUACCUAAUCAGAAAGCCACGGCUAACUACGUG
RNAcentral lists this ribosomal RNA (497 nucleotides) under uncultured bacterium. RNAcentral describes it as "partial 16S ribosomal RNA". It matches the Rfam family "Bacterial small subunit ribosomal RNA", at positions 28 to 507 of the family's 1533-position model. The record is from RNAcentral.